This 319-nucleotide unclassified non-coding RNA is filed under the name Hevea brasiliensis (rubber tree). Lineage: Eukaryota; Viridiplantae; Streptophyta; Magnoliopsida; Malpighiales; Euphorbiaceae. The record is from RNAcentral.
GGUUUUCACAUCAAUUUUUUCUACACACCAACAACCAAUUUUCCUUUCCUAGUGGGUUUCAGAUCAUUAUGGACCAGCAGAAUAACACAAGACAAGAAUCUAAGGGACCAAGAUUUGGAAAAAGACAAACCCAACAAAUUCCUCAACAAAGUAGGCAAAACCCAAACAAAAAUCAAGAAAUUCUUCAACAGCAAAGUCAAUAGCAUCCAACAAAUACCAGUAGAUCUCUUCGGCAAAGUGUUCAAAGUCGAGAAAGAAGUCUCUCAUGCCUUUUCUUCCUUCAAGUACACCACAUUAACAAUCCAAGUCUUACUAGCAC